This 468-nucleotide ribosomal RNA is filed under the name uncultured bacterium. RNAcentral's name for it is "partial 16S ribosomal RNA". It matches the Rfam family "Bacterial small subunit ribosomal RNA", at positions 28 to 507 of the family's 1533-position model. The record is from RNAcentral.
GACGAACGCUGGCGGCGGGUUAAACACUUGAAAGUCGAACGGAAAGGCCCUGCUUUUGUGGGUUGCUCGAGUGGCGAACGGGUGAUUAACACGUGAUUAACUUGCCCUUGACUUUGGGUUAACUUCAGGAAACUGGGGCUAUUACCGGUAAGGAGCUCCUGCUGCAUGGUGGGGGUUGGAAAGUUUCGGCGGUUGGGGAUGGACUCGCGGCUUAUCAGCUUGUUGGUGGGGUAGUGGCUUACCAAGGCUUUGACGGGUAGCCGGCCUGAGAGGGUGACCGGCCACAUUGGGACUGAGAUACGGCCCAGACUCCUACGGGAGGCAGCAGUGGGGAAUAUUGCACAAUGGGCGGAAGCCUGAUGCAGCAACGCCGCGUGCGGGAUGACGGCCUUCGGGUUGUAAACCGCUUUCGCCUGUGACGAAGCGUGAGUGACGGUAAUGGGUAAAGAAGCACCGGCUAACUACGUG